Molecule: ribosomal RNA, 496 nt
Filed under: uncultured bacterium
Lineage: Bacteria
Description: partial 16S ribosomal RNA
Rfam family: Bacterial small subunit ribosomal RNA
Source: RNAcentral
ACGAACGCUGGCGGCGUGCCUAAUACAUGCCAGUUGAGCGAUGAAGAUUGGUGCUUGCACCAAUUUGAAGAGCAGCGAACGGGUGAGUAACGCGUGGGGAAUCUGCCUUUGAGCGGGGGACAACAUUUGGAAACGAAUGCUAAUACCGCAUAACAACUUUAAACAUAAGUUUUAAGUUUGAAAGAUGCAAUUGCAUCACUCAAAGAUGAUCCCGCGUUGUAUUAGCUAGUUGGUGAGGUAAAGGCUCACCAAGGCGAUGAUACAUAGCCGACCUGAGAGGGUGAUCGGCCACAUUGGGACUGAGACACGGCCCAAACUCCUACGGGAGGCAGCAGUAGGGAAUCUUCGGCAAUGGACGAAAGUCUGACCGAGCAACGCCGCGUGAGUGAAGAAGGUUGUCGGAUCGUAAAACUCUGUUGGUAGAGAAGAACGUUGGUGAGAGUGGAAAGCUCAUCAAGUGACGGUAACUACCCAGAAAGGGACGGCUAACUACGUG